Leptonychotes weddellii (Weddell seal) is the source of this 3067-nucleotide long non-coding RNA. RefSeq lists it as uncharacterized. The record is from RefSeq and is a predicted model, not a curated record. NCBI's taxonomy places the organism in Eukaryota, Metazoa, Chordata, Mammalia, Carnivora, Phocidae.
GCUGUAGAAAAGAGGACAGCAUUUCCCAUUUCUGGCAUUACGAAUGACAACACAGCAACUGAAAGCAAGCAUGAAUUUCUGGGAGUAGCAUUAGGAUACAGGGCUCCUGCUGAGCUCACCAGAUCCUUGCUCUGCACAGCUGCCUUCUCAGCUGGGGGUUUUAAAUCAGCACAGUGAGAAAAGAUAGAAAUGACCAUGAUGCAUCCUCCUCACUAUGAGAAAAAGAAAUUAGCAUAAAAGAUAUUUGGAAGCAUCUUUUAGGAGGAAUUAUUCCCAGCACAACUCUAUACAACGUCAUCAAUUUCCCCCCUUUUGUGAGGACAAAAUCCAGACAAAAUAAUUCCACUAAUAUGAAGAGUAAUACGCAGCCCUUGAACCGGAAAGCUGAUCUGAUACUUAAAAAUGAGGGGUUCUCGCUUUCUUUGAAGCCACGUACCAUCUCUGGGUGGUAGCCGAGUAUCAAACAAACAGAGAUGCCUUUUCUCCCAUGCUGGAAGCAGUCACCCCUGUUGCCAAGGAAACAUCCUCAGGCAGCAAGGGUCACCUUUGGAGACAAUCGGAAGACUUCAAAAGCAGAUCAAUAGAGACAUGCCAAGACCUGAACUUCCUCGUUAAUGUUGUCUCCUAUUUUAAAUGUCAUUUGCAUCAAACACUUGCUUCUGUGAUUACUAUGUCCUGGGAAGUAGGAAGGCAAAAUUGAACAUGUAGAAAGUCUAGCCCAGUAUUUCUAAGCUGCGCUCUUGGAAGCUGGGGUUUGCAGAGAGAUGUUGUAAGAGCAGGAUGAACAGGCUAAAUGAGGGACUGACAUUCAAGUGGAAAGAGAGGAGCUAGGAGCUGUAUGUGACACUUCAUUUGAAGAAAAGAUUCAACUCAUUAAAGAAACACGGAGUCUUUACUCAUACGGGCACACGUGAUUAUACUUUGUCUAAAUUGGUGAAAUUUUCAUUUUAAUUUCUGAAAAUGUUUUGUCACAUAUUAAGUUUGGGCAGGUUUUGUGUCAGUAAUGCACAAUUUCACUCAUUCACCCAUUUGCUUGUUCUUUUACCAACUAUUUAUGAUUUCACACUAGGAGCCAGGUGCUUCUCUGAAAGUGGGAACUGAAUAACACACAGUCCCGACACUGAAGGUUUGGGGGACUCAAUCUGGUGAAGAAGGUAGACAUAGAAACAAUGGAAGCACUUGCAGAGGGAACAGAGAGAGAUCCUUGUAAUUCCUCCUGAGAACAGGAGUAAAGGCUUUUGGGGAGAGAAAAUGCUUUAUUUUAGCCCGGAAGAAUGGAUAAGCAUUGAACAGGGAGCCCAGGACCGGAAGGACAUUUUAGAGACAAGCAGAGACAACAGCAAAUGCCAAGGACAGAGAUGGGAAAGGCAGAUUUCAUCGGCGUUCUGUUGAUCAAAGAUCAGUAUGUAUUUGGCAGUGUGGACAUGAGGUUCAAAAAGGAAAAUGGGCCUGGAUCAUAAAAAGUCCUUAUAGAGUAUAAAAAUGUUUACACCUUAAUGUUAGUUUUCCAGAUUUUUCCUUUCUAAUGUUAGGGAUAGCUAAUGGGAUUGCUUAACCCUCUAAUAAAUAGAGCUCUAACUAGGUUGGUAUUGUUUUCUCUCCCAUUUUGCAACCAAUUAUUUAUAAAUACCUCUGUGCUUUCAGAGGCUUAAGGGAUGGGAACUUCUGUGACUGUUUAUUAUCUAAAGCAAGAAUUGUGAAAUUUAGGGAUAAACCCUCUUGCUAUUAGAACUCACAAUAAAAUUUGAUUUAUUAAACAACAAAUAAUGGAGUUUUAUAGUAAGAAUUAGAAUGACCUCCACUUUCAAAGUAACUAGUAGAAUUAAGCUGUCAGUAGCAAUCAUUUCUUAAAAUCACAUUAUCUUUCUUUUUGUCGGAAAAUUCAAAAGUGACAAAUGCAAAGAGCUCUUUUGAUUACUAAUGUAUUAUGUUUCACGCUGAAAUGUACCUCGUUAAGUCUGCCUUUAUGAGGGACAAGAAUGAAACUUUGUGUAUAAGAAAAUUCAGAGGGUGGGGAUGUUUGAGAGCUAAAGCUUUUUGGCAUCAUUUAGGUUAGCCACCUGUUCUAGCCUGCAUUUGCUGAAUAAAUUAGAUGCUCUGGGGAGAGUGUAUGCAGCUGAUUGGUCUGCCCUGUUACCGAGGCAACCAUUUUUCUCUCUGCUCUAUGACUCUGAAAGGGUUCAUAACCCAUUAGUACUCCUCUGAGCAGGAACAUGAGAAAAUGUUUUUUUUUCCCUUGCUUUUCUUUCUUUCUUCAGUUUCUUUUAUAAAUAUCUGGUUAAGAUGAUGGGAUUAGUGGAAUUUAACAGAUACUCUUACUAUAUUGUUUAUUCAAGCAGUACAUUUUCCAGAUGUUUGAAAAACUUAGGUCCAAAUGUAAAGGCCCAUAAAAAACAGCUAAAAGCAGGGAUGCUAAGGAUAACUAAAUUUAAAAAAUUGAAAAUAUUUACAACUUAAAUGUGGAGUUCAUCUAAGGUAAUAUAUGUAAAAAUAAACUCUGAAUUUAGUCCAAAAGGCAGUGCAAGAAAGGCCAUUUCCCCCAAAUUAUUCCAGUUAUUAUUUCUGUCAGGGUUUUCUCACUUUGCAGAGGUGACGAGACAUGAAAGAGCAACAAUUUAGUGAAGGUUUUAUCAGAUUCAUCAAGCCAUAAAUUCUGGGAAGUCAGUGAUCAUUUUCUGUAUGCCAAAGGGCUGAGGAACUGGGGAGAGGGUACGGCUGACCCCAAACCAUGGUAAUACCAGGAAAUGAACACAGGUUUUCAUCCACAAGUCACAUGUAGACCUCAGCCUAUUUGUUUUCUUCUAUUUUGUAAACCAUAUUUAUCUUUCUUCUCCAACUCUGUGCUUUGCCCCUUUGAAUUCUAAAUCUUCAUGCAUUAAGAAACAAAACAAGAACAAUAGGCCUCCCCAAACAGAUAAAUUACUCCCUCACCCACCUUGUAGCAGGAAUGCUACAUUUUAUCCCAUUUGCUUCAUUCCUUCUGUCAACUCAGUGAGGCAGAGGUCAUUGAUCCUGUCUUGCAAUUGAGUGGAACUGAGACUCGAGUGGAUUACAUAAUUUGCUGAAG